AUCCUCUUCUCCUCCCUCCCGUCAGCGACCUGCCUCCACUCCGCGAGGCAGAUCGAUCGAGACCCAUGGCCGGGGUCGCCACCGUGCCUCGCCGCGCAGCGCAUCGGGUACUUUGACGUUAGAAGGGAUACUUGCCCCUUUGGCGGAUGAUGUUUUUACAAGCAUGCCUACACCGAUGGGCAUUUGGAGGAGCCGGCAACGGUGGCAGUGCUUCAUUUUCAUGCCGACAAUGGAAGUAU
This is a long non-coding RNA of Triticum aestivum (bread wheat), 239 nucleotides long. RefSeq lists it as uncharacterized. Lineage: Eukaryota; Viridiplantae; Streptophyta; Magnoliopsida; Poales; Poaceae. The record is from RefSeq and is a predicted model, not a curated record. The transcript has 3 exons.